GGCUGGGCGGUCCACCAUUGGCUGGCACUGCUCUGGCUGGGGUUCACCUUCUGGCGAGCCGGUAUGCCCUUAAUUGGGUGUGCCGGGGAGCCAGGACUUUUACUUUGAAAAAAUUAGAGUGUUUAAAGCAGGCCUAUGCUUGAAUACAUUAGCAUGGAAUAAUAGAAUAGGACCUCGGUUCUAUUUUGUUGGUUUCUAGGACCGAAGUAAUGAUUAAUAGGGAUAGUUGGGGGCAUUAGUAUUUAGUAGCUAGAGGUGAAAUUCUUGGAUUUAUGAAAGACUAACUUCUGCGAAAGCAUUUGCCAAGGAUGUUUUCAUUAAUCAAGAACGAAAGUUAGGGGAUCGAAGACGAUCAGAUACCGUCGUAGUCUUAACCAUAAACUAUGCCGACUAGGGAUCAGACGAUGUUAAUUUACUGACUCGUUUGGCACCUUAUGAGAAAUCAAAGUUUUUGGGUUCCGGGGGGAGUAUGGUCGCAAGGCUGAAACUUAAAGGAAUUGACGGAAGGGCACCACCAGGAGUGGAGCCUGCGGCUUAAUUUGACUCAACACGGGGAAACUCACCAGGUCCAGACAUAGUAAGGAUUGACAGAUUGAGAGCUCUUUCUUGAUUCUAUGGGUGGUGGUGCAUGGCCGUUCUUAGUUGGUGGAGUGAUUUGUCUGCUUAAUUGCGUUAACGAACGAGACCUUAACCUGCUAAAUAGCUAUGCCAAUCUUUAUUGGUAGCCAGCUUCUUAGAGGGACUGUCGGCGAUUAGCCGACGGAAGUUUUAGGCAAUAACAGGUCUGUUAUGCCCUUAGAUGUCCUGGGCCGCACGCGCGCUACACUGAUG
This 831-nucleotide ribosomal RNA is filed under the name Mucoromycotina sp. RNAcentral's name for it is "SSU rRNA". It matches the Rfam family "Eukaryotic small subunit ribosomal RNA", at positions 653 to 1508 of the family's 1831-position model. The record is from RNAcentral. Lineage: Eukaryota; Fungi; Mucoromycota.